Molecule: small RNA, 29 nt
Filed under: Bombyx mori (domestic silkworm)
Lineage: Eukaryota; Metazoa; Arthropoda; Insecta; Lepidoptera; Bombycidae
Description: ovarian small RNA-28702
Source: RNAcentral
UCGCCGAGCCGAGUGGCCAUAGAGCAGGC